ACGGGUGAGUAACGCGUGGGUAACCUACCCUGUACACACGGAUAACAUACCGAAAGGUAUGCUAAUACGGGAUAAUAUAUUUGAGAGGCAUCUCUUAAAUAUCAAAGGUGAGCCAGUACAGGAUGGACCCGCGUCUGAUUAGCUAGUUGGUAAGGUAACGGCUUACCAAGGCGACGAUCAGUAGCCGACCUGAGAGGGUGAUCGGCCACAUUGGAACUGAGACACGGUCCAAACUCCUACGGGAGGCAGCAGUGGGGAAUAUUGCACAAUGGGCGAAAGCCUGAUGCAGCAACGCCGCGUGAGUGAUGAAGGCCUUCGGGUCGUAAAACUCUGUCCUCAAGGAAGAUAAUGACGGUACUUGAGGAGGAAGCCCCGGCUAACUACGUGCCAGCAGCCGCGGUAAUACGUAGGGGGCUAGCGUUAUCCGGAUUUACUGGGCGUAAAGGGUGCGUAGGCGGUCUUUCAAGUCAGGAGUGAAAGGCUACGGCUCAACCGUAAUAAGCUCUUGAAACUGGGAGACUUGAGUGCAGGAGAGGAGAGUGGAAUUCCUAGUGUAGCGGUGAAAUGCGUAGAUAUUAGGAGGAACACCAGUUGCGAAGGCGGCUCUCUGGACGGUAACUGACGCUGAGGCACGAAAGCGUGGGGAGCAAACAGGAUUAGAUACCCUGGUAGUCCACGCUGUAAA
This 685-nucleotide ribosomal RNA is filed under the name uncultured bacterium. RNAcentral describes it as "bacterial SSU rRNA". It matches the Rfam family "Bacterial small subunit ribosomal RNA", at positions 102 to 806 of the family's 1533-position model. The record is from RNAcentral.